GACGUAGGGGGCGAGCGUUGUCCGGAUUCACUGGGCGUAAAGCGCGUGUAGGCGGUUCGGCAAGUCCCGUGUGAAAGCCUCCGGCUCAACCGGAGAACGCCGCGGGAUACUGCCGGGCUUGAGGGCGGUAGAGGGUGAUGGAAUUCCCGGUGUAGCGGUGAAAUGCGUAGAUAUCGGGAGGAACGCCAGUGGCGAAGGCGGUCACCUGGGCCGUCCCUGACGCUGAGACGCGAAAGCUAGGGGAGCGAACGGG
RNAcentral lists this ribosomal RNA (253 nucleotides) under uncultured bacterium. Its description in RNAcentral is "partial 16S ribosomal RNA". It matches the Rfam family "Bacterial small subunit ribosomal RNA", at positions 524 to 776 of the family's 1533-position model. The record is from RNAcentral.